RNAcentral lists this unclassified non-coding RNA (349 nucleotides) under soil metagenome. RNAcentral describes it as "partial contains 5.8S ribosomal RNA, internal transcribed spacer 2, and large subunit ribosomal RNA". The stretch from base 1 to 120 matches the Rfam family "5.8S ribosomal RNA", at positions 35 to 154 of the family's 154-position model. The record is from RNAcentral.
GAUGAAGAACGCAGCGAAAUGCGAUAAGUAAUGUGAAUUGCAGAAUUCAGUGAAUCAUCGAAUCUUUGAACGCACAUUGCGCCCGCCAGUAUUCUGGCGGGCAUGCCUGUCCGAGCGUCAUUUCAACCCUCGAACCCCUCCGGGGGGUCGGCGUUGGGGAUCGGCCCUUUACGGGGCCGGCCCCGAAAUACAGUGGCGGUCUCGCCGCAGCCUCUCCUGCGCAGUAGUUUGCACACUCGCAUCGGGAGCGCGGCGCGUCCACAGCCGUUAAACACCCCAAACUUCUGAAAUGUUGACCUCGGAUCAGGUAGGAAUACCCGCUGAACUUAAGCAUAUCAAUAACGGAGGA